RNAcentral lists this ribosomal RNA (473 nucleotides) under Aeromonas veronii. RNAcentral's name for it is "bacterial SSU rRNA". It matches the Rfam family "Bacterial small subunit ribosomal RNA", at positions 46 to 506 of the family's 1533-position model. Lineage: Bacteria; Pseudomonadati; Pseudomonadota; Gammaproteobacteria; Aeromonadales; Aeromonadaceae. The record is from RNAcentral.
GCCUAACACAUGCAAGUCGAGCGGCAGCGGGAAAGUAGCUUGCUACUUUUGCCGGCGAGCGGCGGACGGGUGAGUAAUGCCUGGGGAUCUGCCCAGUCGAGGGGGAUAACUACUGGAAACGGUAGCUAAUACCGCAUACGCCCUACGGGGGAAAGCAGGGGACCUUCGGGCCUUGCGCGAUUGGAUGAACCCAGGUGGGAUUAGCUAGUUGGUGAGGUAAUGGCUCACCAAGGCGACGAUCCCUAGCUGGUCUGAGAGGAUGAUCAGCCACACUGGAACUGAGACACGGUCCAGACUCCUACGGGAGGCAGCAGUGGGGAAUAUUGCACAAUGGGGGAAACCCUGAUGCAGCCAUGCCGCGUGUGUGAAGAAGGCCUUCGGGUUGUAAAGCACUUUCAGCGAGGAGGAAAGGUUGGUAGCUAAUAACUGCCAGCUGUGACGUUACUCGCAGAAGAAGCACCGGCUAACUCCGU